UGGGGAAUCUUCCGCAAUGGGCGCAAGCCUGACGGAGCAACGCCGCGUGAGUGAAGAAGGGUUUCGACUCGUAAAGCUCUGUUGUCGGGGACGAAUGUCAGGACUCAGAAUAUGGGUUCUGAAUGACGGUACCUGACGAGGAAGCCACGGCUAACUACGUGCCAGCAGCCGCGGUAAUACGUAGGUGGCGAGCGUUGUCCGGAAUUAUUGGGCGUAAAGGGAGCGCAGGCGGGAAGGUAAGUCUAUCUUAAAAGUGCGGGGCUCAACCCCGUGAUGGGAAGGAAACUGGUAUUCUUGAGUGCAGGAGAGGAAAGCGGAAUUCCUAGUGUAGCGGUGAAAUG
Molecule: ribosomal RNA, 341 nt
Filed under: uncultured Mitsuokella sp.
Lineage: Bacteria; Bacillati; Bacillota; Negativicutes; Selenomonadales; Selenomonadaceae
Description: bacterial SSU rRNA
Rfam family: Bacterial small subunit ribosomal RNA
Source: RNAcentral